RNAcentral lists this ribosomal RNA (245 nucleotides) under uncultured Conexibacter sp. Its description in RNAcentral is "partial 16S ribosomal RNA". It matches the Rfam family "Bacterial small subunit ribosomal RNA", at positions 524 to 768 of the family's 1533-position model. Lineage: Bacteria; Bacillati; Actinomycetota; Thermoleophilia; Solirubrobacterales; Conexibacteraceae. The record is from RNAcentral.
UACGUAGGGGGCAAGCGUUGUCCGGAAUCAUUGGGCGUAAAGCGCGCGUAGGCGGCCCGGUAAGUCCGUUGUGAAAGUCAAAGGCUCAACCUUUGAAUGCCGAUGGAUACUGCCGGGCUGGAGUCCGGAAGAGGCGAGUGGAAUUCCUGGUGUAGCGGUGGAAUGCGCAGAUAUCAGGAGGAACACCAAUAGCGAAGGCAGCUCGCUGGGACGGUACUGACGCUGAGGAGCGAAAGCGUGGGGAG